Molecule: ribosomal RNA, 253 nt
Filed under: uncultured bacterium
Lineage: Bacteria
Description: partial 16S ribosomal RNA
Rfam family: Bacterial small subunit ribosomal RNA
Source: RNAcentral
UACGGGGGGGGCAAGCGUUGUUCGGAAUUACUGGGCGGAAAGGGCUCGUAGGCGGCCAACUAAGUCAGACGUGAAAUCCCUCGGCUUAACCGGGGAACUGCGUCUGAUACUGGAUGGCUUGAGAUUGGGAGAGGGAUGCGGAAUUCCAGGUGUAGCGGUGAAAUGCGCAGAUAUCAGGAGGAACACCGGUGGCGAAGGCGGGUCUCUGGGCCGAUAUUGACGCUGAGGAGCGAAAGCGUGGGGAGCGAACAGG